This 460-nucleotide ribosomal RNA is filed under the name uncultured bacterium. RNAcentral describes it as "partial 16S ribosomal RNA". It matches the Rfam family "Bacterial small subunit ribosomal RNA", at positions 338 to 795 of the family's 1533-position model. The record is from RNAcentral.
CCUACGGGAGGCAGCAGUGAGGAAUAUUGGUCAAUGGCCGGAAGGCUGAACCAGCCAUGCCGCGUGAAGGUCAGUGCCCUAUGGGCGUUAAACUUCUUUUGUGCGGGAGCAAUAAUGGUCACGUGUGGCCAGACGAGAGUACCGUACGAAUAAGCAUCGGCUAACUCCGUGCCAGCAGCCGCGGUAAUACGGGGGAUGCAAGCGUUAUCCGGAUUUAUUGGGUUUAAAGGGUGCGUAGGCUGGGAGGUAAGUCAGCGGUGAAAUGCCCCCGCUCAACGGGGUGAAGUGCCAUUGAUACUGGCUGGCUGGAAUGCGGAUGCCGUGGGAGGAAUGUGUGGUGUAGCGGUGAAAUGCAUAGAUAUCACACAGAACACCGAUUGCGAAGGCAUCUCACGAAUCCGCGAUUGACGCUGAUGCACGAAAGCGUGGGUAUCAAACAGGAUUAGAUACCCCGGUAGUC